RNAcentral lists this long non-coding RNA (521 nucleotides) under Ananas comosus (pineapple). Its description in RNAcentral is "long non-coding RNA (ACOM_LNC020795)". Lineage: Eukaryota; Viridiplantae; Streptophyta; Magnoliopsida; Poales; Bromeliaceae. The record is from RNAcentral.
GACUUGAACAUCGCUUCCUCAAAAUCAAACAUAGGUAAUAAUUAAAAGGAUAAUUGCCUAUAUACCCCUCAAAACUUCAGAAAUAUCUCAUUUAUCCCUACCUUUUUUUUUCUUUCCAAUAUACGCCUCAUAUGUUCCUCCGUUAUUCCAAAAUAUCCCUAUAGUUACCACCCGUUAAGUUAACUCGGAUUAAACGUGAGUUAAAUAUCGAUCACAAUUAAAAAAAAUUUAAAAUACUAAUAUUUUCCUUAACUUAAGGGCAAAUAAAAAAUAUUGGUGACGGUAGAGAUAUUUGAAAAGACCAAAAGUCAAAAUACUUUUUGUGCCCCUAACUUAAGAGCAAAUAAGAAAAGUCGGUGAUGGUAGAAGGAUAUAUUUGAAAGGGCAAAUAGUAAUUUUAUACAGAUAAUAGAGUUCAUUAACAGAUUUUAACUCUAGGGGUAUAUUUGAAAUAGGUUGGAACGUAAAAAGGAUAUUUUCAAUAUAAGCCUUCUGUUGGAAGCCGAAUUUUCCGACCCUUG